This 425-nucleotide ribosomal RNA is filed under the name uncultured bacterium. RNAcentral describes it as "partial 16S ribosomal RNA". It matches the Rfam family "Bacterial small subunit ribosomal RNA", at positions 354 to 796 of the family's 1533-position model. The record is from RNAcentral.
GUUAGGAAUAUUGGACAAUGGGCGCAAGCCUGAUCCAGCCAUGCCGCGUGAGUGAUGAAGGCCUUCGGGUUGUAAAGCUCUUUAGUCCACGAAUAUAAUGACUGUAGUGGAAGAAUAAGCCCCGGCUAACUUCGUGCCAGCAGCCGCGGUAAUACGAAGGGGGCGCGCGUUAUGCGGAAUCACUGGGCGUAAAGCGUGCGUAGGCUGUUUUGUAAGUCAGAAGUGAAAGCCCAGGGCUUAACCCUGGAAUUGCAUUUGAAACUACAAGACUCGAAUUCGGGAGAGGAUAGCGGAAUUGUCAGUGUAGCAGUGAAAUGCGUAGAUAUUGACAGGAACACCAGUGGCGCAAGCGGCUAUCUGGACCGAUAUUGACGCUGAGGCACGAAAGCGUGGGGAGCAAACAGGAUUAGAUACCCUUGUAGUCC